Molecule: ribosomal RNA, 428 nt
Filed under: uncultured bacterium
Lineage: Bacteria
Description: partial 16S ribosomal RNA
Rfam family: Bacterial small subunit ribosomal RNA
Source: RNAcentral
GUGGGGAAUAUUGGGCAAUGGGCGAAAGCCUGACCCAGCAACGCCGCGUGAAGGAAGAAGGUUUUCGGAUUGUAAACUUCUGUCCUCAGGGAAGAAGAAAGUGACGGUACCUGAGGAGGAAGCCCCGGCUAACUACGUGCCAGCAGCCGCGGUAAUACGUAGGGGGCGAGCGUUGUCCGGAAUGACUGGGCGUAAAGGGCGCGUAGACGGCUGUCUAAGUCUGGAGUGAAAGUCCUGCUUUCAAGGUGGGAAUUGCUUUGGAGACUGGAUGGCUGGAGUGCGGAAGAGGUAAGUGGAAUUCCCAGUGUAGCGGUGAAAUGCGUAGAGAUUGGGAGGAACACCAGUGGCGAAGGCGACUUACUGGGCCGUAACUGACGUUGAUGCGCGAAAGCGUGGGGAGCGAACAGGAUUAGAUACCCGGGUAGUCC